Molecule: ribosomal RNA, 204 nt
Filed under: uncultured bacterium
Lineage: Bacteria
Description: partial 16S ribosomal RNA
Rfam family: Bacterial small subunit ribosomal RNA
Source: RNAcentral
CGCGUAGGCGGGUUUUUAAGUCAGAUGUGAAAUAUGCGGGCUCAACCCGGAGAAUGCAUCUGAUACUGAGAAUCUUGAGUGCAGGAGAGGACAGUGGAAUUCCUAGUGUAGCGGUGAAACUGCGUAGAUAUUAGGAGGAACACCAGUGGCGAAGGCGGCUGUCUGGACUGUAACUGAGCUGAGGCGCGAAGCGUGGGAGCAACA